GGGCGUGCACGCCGCCGUGCACGAUCUGGACAGGGACCCCCGGGGCCGGGAGAUGGAGCGGGAGCUCGCCAGGAGGCUCGGCGGCGGCGCCGGGCGCGGUGGCAGCACACCGACCGUGCCGGCGGUGUUCGUAGGCGGCGACCUCGUCGGCGGGAUUAACAGGGUCCUGGCGCUGCACCUCAGCGACGAGCUCGUGCGCAUGCUCAGGAACGCCGGCGCGAUCUGCCCAUGCUAGAAUAGUGAAGUCAACCGUGACAAUUGCUCGAAAAUAAUGGAGGGAGUAACUAAACCUCUGUAAUUAUUCUUCUCGUUUGAAUUUAGAUAUAACCGCUAAUAGUAUGUUGCUAUGCAAUUAUGCAGUUAAUAUCAAAUUGAAUUGUGUGUAAUGAAUUAAUCUGCUGAAUGCGGAUACGAGAAACAGUCGUUGACCCAACUCCUCAAGAAUCAAGAGGUGAUACGUUGCCCUUGAGAUGGUCGAGGGGAUCAACGUUUGAGCUACUGGUUUGGACAAAUUUUGACUGAAAUUUUAAAAUCUAAAUGAAUUCGUCCCAAAAAUUUCCGGCACUGCCAAAAUUCAAAGGCAAUCUGCACAGUGGAGUCGGCAGCCCGGCAGCACACCACAUAGAGCAUCGAACAGCACAAAUUCCAUCGACUGAAACUAAUUCAAGGCCUUCACGCCUUCAUUACACCAUCAACCGAACACAAGUUCAGUAGACUCUAGUCAGCGCAGCGACCAGUGACAAACUCACAAACAAUGACUGAAACCGUAAAGGCAAAGGCAGAUUGACACCACAAAGGAAUUUCAGCAUUUCCAUUAUGCAAUAGUGCAUUUCUACUCAUCUAAUCAUCUCUGGAAUCAGAAGAAUCAGAAAUGUGCAUCAAGCUGCCAAUCAUCACGCAUCAGACCUGAGUUUCUUCUUCCUAGGUCACCUCUUCCUUUUUUUUCUUGUGGUCGUGAGUUCGUGACAUCGAUGCUCCAGUGGCUGUGAUGCUCCAGCUCCAUCUUGUCCACUUUCAUGAACUUCCUUUUCUUCUGCAUUUGCAAUUGGUACAGUCCAAAGUAACCAGCUCCAGAAGAACAUCAUUUAUUUCCUUCUCUAUGGGAUCUCUGCUCCUGUUCUCAUUCUUUUGCCUUAGUUUGGAGUUAAAUGCACAAAAUGCAAGAUCCCUCAUCCUACCAUGAAGUAAUAGAUGAAAUAAUGGGCUUCGCCCAUUUCAAUUUCAGAAAUUCCAAAUAAAUCUCAAAAGCCCAUGUGGGAAUGAGCAAGUGGUUGAAGUGGUGCAAACCUUUAGUCCCACAUUGCUAGUGGAAGAGAAGGAUGGCCAACAUAAAUAUGGAGGUUGUCUUCACUCCUCCAAGCUAUGUGUGUGGGGAGAGAAGGAAAGCUCCACACGCGCACGCUCGCUCGCCGCACCACACAGGGCGAAGGGCGCGGGCGUGUGACACCUGCGUGAAUGGUCGACCGAAAUCCGGCCUCCAACCUUGCGGUGGCGAGCAAACGGGAGAGCAGGUCUCCGAAACCUCUCGCUCUUGUGAUCCUACACGGGGAGAGGGCAAAUAAGGUUUUUGGAAGCGCUCCGCGCGACUGCUCAAGGUCUUCACCAUGGCUUGUCCUUCGUCCAAGUCUGGCGUUGUGGGCGUACCAUCAUCUUCGACGUCGUCUGUUGCGCUCCAUCCGCAACACCGUCAUCGUUCCGUCAGCACCGCUUGUCAUCACGGCUGCACCUGCUAAGUACGUACGUCGUGAUCCAAUCUGUUAUUUCAGCAUGUUUUCUAAGAUCAUGAAGUUGUGCACCUGCACCGCUUGCCAAGAAGAAGAAUAAGUCUAAGAUGAACUGCUACACUUGUGGUGAGCUUGGACACUUCUCUAAGCAUUGUCCAAAUCAUGCAGACCGCAAGGGCAAAAGGGCCAAUGGGUCUAAGUAUGUCGACAUGGUGACCAUAGGCAACACUGGAGAUGGGUACGGUAAUCUACCUACUGUUCUUUCAGUUUUUCAUUCCACUAGUUGGUGGUUUGAUACGGGUGCCAAUGUUCAUGUGUGUGCUGACAUCUCCAUGUUUUCCUCUUACCAGGUCACCCAGGAUUUCUCCGUGCUAAUGGGGAAUGGGUCACAUGCUACUGUUCAUGGUGUUGGUACGGUAGAUCUGAAGUUUACUUCGGAAUUUCUCUGUGCUGAUGGGGAAUGGGUCACAUGCUGUUGUUCAUGGUAUUGGUACGGUAGAUCUAAAGUUACUUCGGGGAAGAUCGUGCAACUGAGGAACGUGCAUCAUGUCCCUACCAUCAACAAGAGUCUUGUGAGCGGGUCGGUCCCGUGCAAGGACGGGUUUAAGGUAGUGUUAGAGUCCAAUAAAUUAGUCAUGUCAAAACAUGGACAAUUCGUUGGUAAAGGCUAUGAGUGCGGAGGCUUGUUCUGCUUUUCCCUUGCAGACUUCUGUAAUAAGUCCGUGAACCAUAUUUGCGGCAACGUUAGUGUGAUGCGAGUACUUGGCAUUCACGUUUGUGCCAUAUUAAUUUUUGUUUAAUGUCUCGGCUUUCCAGCAUGUGUUUAAUUCCAAACCUCACCAUUGACAAAGGUUCUAAGUGCCAUAGUUGUGUGCAAUCGAAGCAACCUCGGAAGCCUCACAAGGCGGCUGAGGAGAGACACUUGGCACCUCUAGAACUCAUACAUUCUGAUAUGUGCGAGAUGAAUGGUGUGUUGACAAAAGGUGGAAAAAGAUACUUCAUGACAUUGAUUGAUGAUGUGACUAGAUUUUUCUAUGUUUACUUGUUGCAAACUAAGGAUGAAGCAUUAGACUACUUUAAAAUUUAUAAGGCUGAGGUUGAGAAUCAACUUGAGAGAAAGAUCAAGUGUCUAAGGCCUGAUCAUGGUGGUGAGUAUUUUCCAAAAAUCUUUGAUGAAUUCUGUGAGGAACAUGGUAUUAUUCAUGAGAGGACACCUCCCUAUUCGCUCGAGUCCAACGGGGUUGCUGAGAGGAAAAACCACACACUGACUGACUUAGUUAAUUCCAUGUUAGAUACUACCAGUUUAUCUAAGGUAUGGUGGGGAGACUCUAUUGACUUCAUGUCAUGUCCCGAAUAGAGUUCCGAACAAGAAUAAAGAUCAAACUUCAUAUAAGAUGUGGAUCGGGAGAAAACCGUCACUUUCUUAUUUGCGUACUUGGGGCUGCUUGGCGAAAGUCAAUGUACCCAUUCCGAAGAAGCGCAAGUUAGGACCUAAGACAAUAGAUUGUGUCUUUCUAGGAUAUGCUCAAAGGAGCAUUGCUUAUAGAUUUUUAGUGGUUAAAUCUGAGAUCCCUGAUAUGCAUGUUGAUACUAUUAUGGAAUCUCAUGAUGCAACAUUUUUUCAGAAUAUAUUUCCUCUUAAAGAUAUGCAUAGCAACUCUAGAUUUUCUGUUGAAAUAACUUCUGAACCUACUGCACCUGUUGAGUCUUCUGAACAACCCGAUGAGCAUUAGCAUGAGGACGUCCUAUAGAAGGAUGACAGUGAAGCUCCUAGAAGAAGCAAGAGAUAGAGGGUUGCAAAAUCCUUUGGUGAUGAUUUCACUAUGUACCUUGUGGACAAUACUCCUACGUCCAUCAUUGAGGCAUAUGCAUCUCCAGAUGCAGACGAUUGGAAAGAAGUUGUCCAAAGUGAGAUAGAUUCGAUUCUUUCUAAUAGGACAUGGGAGCUCACUGAACGACUCUACGGUUGCAAACCAGUGGGUUGUAAAUGGGUGUUCAAGAAGAAGUUUAGGCCUGAUGGUACUAUUGAAAAGUACAAGGCUAGACUUGUGGCCAAAGGUUACACACAAAAAGAAGGUGAAGACUUCUUCGAUACCUAUUCAUCUGAUCGCUAGACUGACCUCUAUUCAAGCACUACUUUCUCUGGCUGCCUCGUAUAGUCUUAUCGUCCACCAGAUGGAUGUAAAGACAACUUUUCUAAAUGGAGAGUUGGAUGAGGAGCUCUAUAUGGAUCAGCCUGAUGGGUUUGUGGUAAACGGUCAAGGGAGCAAGGUGUGUAAGUUGUUGAAGUCUUUGUAUGGCCUGAAAGAAGCACCUAAGUAAUGGCAUGAUAAUUUUGACAGAACUUUAACUUCUGCGGGCUUUGUCAUUAAUGAGAUUGAUAGAUGUGUGUACCAUCGCCAUGGUGGGGGUGAAGGGUUAUAUUAUGCUUGUAUGUGGAUGACAUACUGAUCUUUGGCACAAACAUUGAUGUGAUUAAUGAGGUCAAGUAUUUUCUAUCACGGAACUUUGAUAUGAAAGAUCUGGGAGAAGCUGAUGUUAUUCUAAACAUCAAGCUGAUUAAGUAUGAGAAUAGGAUUACUCUUUUGCAAUCCCAUUACGUGGAGAAGGUCUUGAACCAUUUUGUUUAUAUAGAUAGCAAGCCUUCUCCAACACCUUAUGAUCCCAGCGUGAUACUCAAAAAGAACAAGAAAACUGCUAAAGACCAAUUGAGAUAUUCUCAGAUUGUCGGAUCACUCAUUUACUUAGGUAGCGCAACAAGACCCGACAUAGCUUUUGCUGUGAACAAAUUGAGUAGGUUCAUGUCAAUCCCGGGGUCUGAUCAUUGGCAUGCACUUGAAAGGGUUAUGCGCUACUUGGUGGGUACUAUGAGUUAUGGGAUUCACUAUUCCGAGCACCCUGCUGUGCUUGAGGGAUAUAGUGAUUCGAACUAGAUUUUGGAUGCUGAUGACCUAUAUGCCACGAGUGGGCAUGUGUUUACCCUUGGAGGUGGUGCAAUAUCAUGGAGGUCUUGCAAACAGACCAUUCUGACGAGGUCAACCAUGGAAACAAAACUUACUGCUUUGGAAACAGCCACUGUUGAGGCAGAAUAGCUGCGUGAUCUCUUGAUGGACUUGCCUAUAGUUGAUAAACCAAUACCGGCAAUCCUUAUGAACUGUGACAAUCAAACGGUGAUAGUUAAAGUGAACAGUGCUAAGGAUAACGCAAAAUCAUCAAGAUAUGUCAAGAGACGACUGAAGUCUAGCAGAAAGUUGAGAAACUCCGGAGUAAUAAGUGUGACUUAUAUUCAAACAGAUAAAAAUCUGGCAUAUCUCUUUACAAAAGGGCUAUCACGGAAUGUGAUAGAAUGUACAUGAAGGGAGAUGGAUAUGAGACCCGUUUAAGUUGCCGUAGUGGUAGCCCAACCUAUGUGAUUGGAGAUCACGUGAAUUAGGAUAUGGGAAAAACAAGCUGUCGGUUGACUGAGGAGAGUAAAUUAUUAAACUCUCUCUAUAUAAAAAUGCAAUACUCUCAAAUGCUGCAAGGAAGGUUAGCAAUGUGCUUUAAUGUGCUUCUAUUGACUUGAUUAAGCGAAGAUGCUGUCCUACAAAGCAUUCUUGAAAGAACACACAUAUAUGAGCCUGACUAUACAACAUCGCAGUCUAUGAGACUUGGGUGAUCUCUAGUAAUCUCAUGAAGAGACCAAGGAGUAUGACGAAUAUGCUUCACCUGUGGGGUAGGCUACUGGCAGCGAGGUACUAGUUCCAACUCUGAGUGAAACUUGUCCGCACAAAACUUGAAAUUCAAGGCUUAGUCCAUUGUUAAGUUAUGGAUGAAUGUAACUUGAAGCUCUAGGCGAGAGUUCAACUUAAUAGUUCUUGCUGAAACACUAGUAUAUAAACUGUAAGGAGAAACAGGCAAAAUCUCUGAUAGACUUUUGAGAUCUUUUGGGGGAUUGAUGAAAUAAUGGGCUUGUCCCAUUUCAAUUUAAGAAAUUCCAAAUAAAUCUCAAAGGCCCAUGUGGGAAUGAGCAAGUGGUCGGAGUGGUGCAAACCUUUUGUCCCACAUUGCUAGUGGAGGAGAAGGAUGGCCAACAUAAAUAUAGAGGUUGUCUCCACUCCUCCAAGCUAUGUGUGUGGGGAGAAAAGGAAAGCUCCACAUGCACGCGCUCGCUCUCCAUGCCACGCCUCGCCGGGCGGGGCGAAGGGCGCGGGCAUGCGACACCUGCGUGAAUGGUCCACCGAAAUCCAACGUCCAACCUUGCGGUGGCGUGGUUUCCUUGUGCCAUUUUAUUUUUUGUUACUUGGUCUUUAAGUCAGUGAGAUAUAUGGAAGCCUAAUCGGUUUAGAUCACGAUCGCGACGUGAGAUCGUGGGUUCUCCUCUAUAUACGACCUAUCGGCCUCUACCGAAAAGACAUCUAAUCGAGCUAGGGUUUUGCCUCUUCUCGCUGCUGUGGCGCCACCGUAGUCUACUCCAUCUCGAGCACCGGCGCGCACCGACGAACAGGAGAGUAGGUCUCCGGAACAUCUCGCUCUUGUGAUCCUGCACCGGGAGAGGGCGAAUAACGGUUUUGGAAAACGCUCCGCGCGACUGCUCAAGGUCUUCACCACGGCUCGUCCUCCGUCCAAAUCAGGCUUUGCGGCGUACAUCGUCUUCAACAUCGUCCGCUGCGCUCCGUCUGCAACAGCGUCGUCAUUUCGUCAGCACCGCUUGUCAUCAGAGCUCACCCGCUAAGUACGUACGCCGUGAUCCAAUCUGUUAUUUCAGCAUGUUUUCUGAGAUCAUGAAGCUGUGCUUGUUGUUGCCUUGUAUGUUAGAGAAUCGCAUGCUAGGUUUUAUUCUUGUUAUGAUAAAUCUAGUUCGGAAAUUAAUCAUGCAGUUGUCUAAUUUUCCAACCGUAGUUUGUUGGCAUUCUUUGUGGUGAACCGCGCCAUGCCAAACGCCUGCAUGUGACAUAGAGGUCGUAUUGAAGAUGUUGUCAGGAACAAAUGGUGAACACCUUCAGCGAGACAAGAUAUAUAGCAAACUGGGAAGAUUUAUCUAGUACGGUCGAAUUGUGUGAUGAUUUGAUGAGCAAGAAUGGUGAAACUAUACAAGGACAAGAGAGUCCACUACGGAAAAAGGAAGUGUGACUGAGGGAGGGGCCGAAUGCGAGUGCAACCUAUCUGUAUGAAUAUUCAAUUCUGGACCUGAAGAUUGAUAUAAAGUGGCUGCUCUUAGCCGAAGGGAUCAGAUCCUUCUGUCAUACUGUCAUGUGACGAAGCAUCGCCGCGUUGUUGUCGGCACAUUUGCUUUUCCUAUGGACUUCUGUAUUAAUUUAAACUCGAGCUCAAAGACCGACCUGAGCUCUAAAGUUAAGCAGUGACGCAGGAAACACUCACUUUUUCACACAGCUGAAGGAAAUAGCAUGUGUAUUGCACUCAGACUGCUAACAACAGCAGAACAAAGGUUCACUGUGCUCUCGCUGCUUUUCAGCUUGUCAACAAUAUAUUACAAACAGUAUGCUAACAUCUGCACUUGGUCUGUAUUUGAAUCUUGAAGUGCAGGUAUGUGUUAUUAAUAAGUCUUCUUUUCAAGAUUGUUAUAAAACAGUGGCUGAACAAAAUCUUUUUUCUCUCUUGAGAUAUUUCCAGAUUUUUUUUUUCUCUCUUCAUUGCCCCUCACCUUUACUUUCGUCUCAGAUAUGCUUUUGCAGAUCAUAGAAUGUAGCCCCUUGCAUACAUGAGGAGCCAGGAACUGAUCAAGCUCAGGAAGGAAUCUCAAGAUGCAAAGUUCCACACAUGGUCCGCACUGCGAGGACAGAUCUUGAGGAUAAGGAUACAUGUCUAUCCAGAUAUUCUCCAUUGUCGUCUGCUGGUUCCAGAGGUUUGCAUCAUAUACAAGAGAAGAUGUGAAGAUGCAUCGCGGCUUAUCAACGGUGACUGUUCCAUAGCAUCAUUUAAACAGCAUGCUCUUGCUGAUAUGCAAUGCAAGGUUCUGCUGCGUCUUGCUGAUAAGGAUGAUGCGGCUUGUUAAAGGUGGAAGUCUUCAGAGAGAACCAGACAUAGCAAAUUGGGUGUCUGACUGAAGAUUUGUUCACUAAGAAUGGUGUGAAACUGUUCAGAAGCAACGUGAGAAUGCAAAUGGGGCAGAUUCUGGCGCCACGGAUAAGGUCAGAAGAGAGACUGACUGUGGAUGAUGAAAGUCGUCAGAGAUAACAAGACAUUGCAAAAUGGGUGUCUGACUGAAGAUUCAUUCACUAAGAAUGGUGAAACUAUUCAGAAACAACUUGAGAAUGCAAAUGGGCAGAUUCUGACGCUACGGACAAGGUCAGAAGAGAGAGUGACCGUGUGAGGGGGACUGAAUGAGACCGUAGGCCCUCUGUCUGAAGAUGCCAUUCUGUACCUGAAGAACAGGGGCUUGAUCCCUCCAAUACAAAGUGGUUGUUCUUAGCCGGAGGAAUCAGAUCCUGCUGUCAUACUGUCAUGUGACGAAGCGUCGCCGUGUUGUUGUCGGCACUUUUGAUUUUUCUAUGGACUUCUGUACUUAACACUCGGACUCAAAAGGUCUGAACUCUCAAGUUAGCAGUGAUGCAGGCCAGCAUUCAGACUUUCACAGAACUGAAGAACACUACAACUACUAGGUAAUGGAAAUGACAUACAUUGCAUCAGAGGUUUUCAGUGAUUACAAGGUUCAGAAUUCAGACCCUAUAUCAACAAAGCAGAGAAAAAUUUCACUGUUCUCAUUGUUCUAUUUUUGAGCUAUUCAACCAUGUCUUACUAGUAUGUUAACGUGUGUACUUGAUCAGUAUCGGAAUCUGUAAGUGCAUACAUAUACUCUCAAGAUUGUAUGAUUAUAAAUUGUGACUGAACAAUUUAUUUCUACCCUAAAGAAAAUCCACAAAUAUACGUUUGUGUAUAGUCCUAUCCUCAUUUGAAAAGAUCCAUUUGUUUUUUCAGAUUUUAGCAUUGGAAUUUCGGCAUGAGGUCAACUCGUGUUAUGAGGAAAGAUUCUAGUGCUCCAAGGCCCUCAUGCAUGAACACACACACGGAUUCUUAUCCAAAACUAGCUAUCCAAUCUUUAACUGGCCUGCACUCUACCAGAAGAAUCAUUUUUCAGUUACACAUGAACCAAAUCUAGCUAUAUAUGUUCCAUAUGCACAUAAAAGAAUAUAACAUGCUUAGAAAAUGCUAUGAUCUCAUUAGCAAAAAAAAAAUGAAAAUGCUAUGAUAUGGUUGUUCAGAAUCUUACAAUAAUCCACUGCAGAUAGGCACACAUACUGACAUCUUUUUCUAGCCUAUAAAAGGAAGCCAUGGCCAGCACCAAGAAACCAGACCAGUCAACUUUUGCAGACCAUCUACAACUCUAAAGAGGGACGAGUCUAGAACCUUCCGGGGCACCAGACCAUUGAAGUGAUGGACCGCGUUGCGAGGCUGGUGUCGGAGCGGGCGGUGGUGGUGUUCACGGCGAGCAACUGCAGCAUGUGCGACGUCGUGACGUCGCUGCUGGGCAGCCUGGGCGUGAACGCUGCCGUGCACGAUCUGGACAGGGACCCCCGGGGCCGGGAGAUGGAGCGGGAGCUCGCCAGGAGGCUGGGCGGCGGCUCCGGGCCCGGUGGCAGCACACCGACCGUGCCGGCGGUGUUCGUGGGCGGCGACCUCGUCGGUGGGACCAACAGGGUCAUGGCGCUGCACCUCGCCGGCGAGCUCGUGCCCAUGCUCAGGAACGCCGGCGCGCUCUGGCUGUAGAGAAAUUGAUCGAGAACGUCCAAGCGCGUGCAUGGCAUGCACACGCGU
This 9479-nucleotide long non-coding RNA is filed under the name Setaria viridis. Its description in RNAcentral is "long non-coding RNA (SVIR_LNC009962)". The record is from RNAcentral. Lineage: Eukaryota; Viridiplantae; Streptophyta; Magnoliopsida; Poales; Poaceae.